Molecule: ribosomal RNA, 565 nt
Filed under: Exobasidium woronichinii
Lineage: Eukaryota; Fungi; Basidiomycota; Exobasidiomycetes; Exobasidiales; Exobasidiaceae
Description: LSU rRNA
Rfam family: Eukaryotic large subunit ribosomal RNA
Source: RNAcentral
CGGCGAGUGAAGCGGGAUGAGCUCAAAUUUGAAAGCUGGCAGCAAUGUCCGCGUUGUAAUCUCGAGAGAUGUUUUCCGCGUUGGACCACGUACAAGUUCCUUGGAAUAGGAUGUCAUAGAGGGUGAAAAUCCCGUACUUGAUGUGGACGCCCAGUGCUUUGUGAUACGUCUUCGAAGAGUCGAGUUGUUUGGGAAUGCAGCUCAAAAUGGGUGGUAAAUUCCAUCUAAAGCUAAAUAUUGGGGAGAGACCGAUAGCGAACAAGUACCGUGAGGGAAAGAUGAAAAGCACUUUGGAAAGAGAGUUAAACAGUACGUGAAAUUGUCAAAAGGGAAGCAUUUGAAGUCAGACGUGUAUUGCAGUAUUCAGCCUUGCUUUUGCUUGGUGUAUUUGCUGUAUUACAGGCCAACAUCAGUUUUGAGUGACGGAUAAGGGUAGAGAGAAUGUGGCAUCCUCGGAUGUGUUAUAGCUCUUUACUGGAUACGUCGUUUGGGACUGAGGAACGCAGCGCGCCGCAAGGCAGACCCUCGGGUACUUUCGCGCUAGGAUGUUGGCGUAAUGGCUUUA